RNAcentral lists this small RNA (1128 nucleotides) under Pongo abelii (Sumatran orangutan). RNAcentral's name for it is "retained intron". Lineage: Eukaryota; Metazoa; Chordata; Mammalia; Primates; Hominidae. The record is from RNAcentral.
GUGAGCCACCGCACCCAGCCAAUUUUAAAUGUUUUAUAUUUUGCUCAUCAUGGAUAUUUUAAUUGCCUUGUAUUUCUUACAUGUUGUAUUAAAAUAUUUAUUGUUAUUACCGUUUUUUGCUGCCCUGGUAAAUUUUGCACACCUGCCUUACUCAGUCCCGAGCCCUGGCCUGGGUCCUGAUGAUCAGGUAUAUCCUCAGGGUGAACUGACAGGCCCCUACCCACCCCUGGGGGCGGAUCCUCAUAUGAGUUUAUUCUCUUGCCUGUUUCUUAGCACCCCUUUCCCCCAAAGACUCUGUCCACUAUGGACAUUAAAAUGUGAGUGAACAUGAGAUUGGGGCUCUGAUGAAUUGGGAAACCGUAACAUACAGGCAACCACCCUUCCUUGCCCAUCGUAAAAUGGAGCACCACUUUUUGGCCACUAUCAGCUUGUUCUUUGUUGUUGCUCAAGGGGUAAAGAGAGCCAGGGUUCCCACUUCUGCCCUUGGUCUUUUGUAGGUUACUUUGGAAGAAGUCAACUCCCAAAUAGCCCUAGAAUACGGCCAGGCAAUGACAGUCCGAGUGUGCAAGAUGGAUGGAGAAGUAAUGCCUGUGGUUGUAGUGCAGAGUGCCACAGUCCUGGACCUGAAGAAGGCCAUCCAGAGAUACGUGCAGCUCAAGCAGGAGCGUGAAGGGGGCAUUCAGCACAUCAGCUGGUCCUAUGUGUGGAGGACGUACCAUCUGACCUCUGCAGGAGAGAAACUCACAGAAGAUAGAAAGAAGCUCCGAGACUAUGGCAUCCGGAAUCGAGACGAGGUUUCCUUCAUCAAAAAGCUGAGGCAAAAGUGAGCCUCCAGACAGGACAACUCGCUUCAUCACUGGUGGCUGAGCUUUUUCCCAGCAGGAUCGGCUCCUCGAGUCAUUGUGCCUCUUUCACAGAAAGGAUGUCGUGUUGGCCUCACCCCAGGCAUGCCCAACAGGAACUGUCAGCAUAAACCUGGGGGCCCUCAGGACUAGGACAGGGUGAGCCAGUGCUCCCUUCUUUCAUGCACUUGGCCUGAGACUGACCUCUCCCUGGGUCCAAAUGCCCUAGUCACAUGGCAGAGCCACGGCCUGGCCCUGUGUAUAAAAUAAACCUGUUUGCUUCUUG